This 1738-nucleotide long non-coding RNA is filed under the name Olea europaea subsp. europaea. Lineage: Eukaryota; Viridiplantae; Streptophyta; Magnoliopsida; Lamiales; Oleaceae. The record is from RNAcentral.
CACCUACUAGAAAACAGGCAGAGAGCAAAAAGGCGGAGAAAGAGAGAAAAACUAAGGAAAGAGGGAAGAAAAAAGUGAAAGAAGGAAGAAAGGAAGAAAAGGGAAGAAAAGGAAGCAAGGUAAGGUUAAUCUCUUCAAGUUUGGAUUUAAUUUUUUCCAUUUGUUACAAGUGAUAAAAGUAUGAUUUAUGUUAAAAUUCUACAGUUUUAACUUGUAGUAAAAAAUUUCAAAUUUAGGUGUGAUAAGUACGAAUUGGAGCUCAAGCUUGGGGAUUACUUCAUUUCCAAUUUCAGCUAAGUAAGGAAUAUUAUUUUUAACAAACCCUAGAAAUUUCAUUUGGGAUUUUUGGAUGAAAAUGAUGAUGAUGAGGAAAUAAUUAUUUGGAAGUAUGAAUUGAUGGAACAAGAGGAAAAUUUAAUUGGUCGAAGCAUUGUGACAAGUAUGAAGUGGUAGUUACAUUAAUGCUUGAAAUGAAGGUUAUGUUGAUAAAUUAGUUACUAGAAAGGUAUCAUAAAGUGUGAUUAGCUCCAAUUAAUAAAAGAAAAUUUGUUAAUUUAAUCAAGUAUCAAGAAAUUUAAUUUUAAGUUCUAUCAUUAUAUAAUAAGGUUUCUUGAUUUAAUAGUGGAUAAAUUGGUUAUUAAUAUCGUAUUUCAGGUCACGAGGAGAUUGGAAAUGUUUAUCAGGCAGUCUAGCUUGUAGCUCAUACUUUGUGAGUGGAUAGAAACUUAUUUUUCAUAAAUUAGUAUUUAUUAAAUUUAUAUUAUAAUAGAAAAUUUAUUAAUUCAUACAGAUGAAUUGACAACAUGAUUCUUAGAAUAAAGUGGAUUUUAUAGUUUCUUUUAAGUUAAAUUCAAUUCAGUUAAAUCAUUUGAUUAGCAAGUUAUAUGAAUAUUAAAUGUUUCAGCAUAAUUAAAGUUAGUUUUAAAACCACCAGAAAGUACUUAGGUGAUUUUACCCUAAUCCGCACUGUUGUGAAUGUGUUUCUACAAUGUAUGAUCAGUUAUGGUGAUUUUACCCGCUCUGCACUAUGGUAAAUGUGUUUUCAUAGUGUAUGACCAGAUUAUCAGAGGCCUUUGGAACCCAUUCUCAUACACACAUAGGCUUUGGGCCGUGUACUAGGGUGAUUAGCCUUUGGAGCAGCUCUAUGUACUUAUAACCAGAUUAUCAUAUGUGAAUGGACUUGCUUUGUACAUUGAGAUUACUCUGUACAUGAGUAAGGCUAUUCAUAGACUUUUUGGUGUAAUUUUUCAGUAUUUCUAUAGCUUAUCAGAUUUCAGAUUAUAGAUUUUCAUGAAUAUCAAAUUCUUUAUAUUCGUUAUACCUUACAGACAGAACAAAAAAUUUUAUAAUGUAAUCAUGUUUAGUUUUUAAAGUAUUACUAGAUUCAAAAUUUCUCAAAGAUUUAAUAAAGUUAGAAUUUUUAGAAAAUAUGCAUAAAUGGAAAAGUAUACUUAUUUGCAAACUGUCCACUCACUGAGUUACAAACUUAUAUAUUUUGUCAUGUUUUUCUUAUUAGGAGACCGUUGAUUUUGAGAUACAUGGAAAAGCCUACCUCAGUCAAAGAGACCGUUUCAUAGUAAGUAAUGAAUAGUUGGGGACUCAUGUUUAUUAAGUACUUUGUCUAGUAUUUUCUUUGACGUGUAUUUUGUAGAAGGGUUUGUAAUUGAUGUAAUGCUUACUUGUAGACAUAAUGCUAAUGUAGAAGUACUCAGUCGAGUUUAGUUGUAUUUUGUUUUAG